This 347-nucleotide long non-coding RNA is filed under the name Capsicum annuum. RNAcentral's name for it is "long non-coding RNA (CANN_LNC015703)". Lineage: Eukaryota; Viridiplantae; Streptophyta; Magnoliopsida; Solanales; Solanaceae. The record is from RNAcentral.
ACUGAGUGAAUAUAUCUGAUAGUCCUGAAUCUAAAGAACUAUCUAAGUUCCUUUAUUGAGACUGAGACUAAGACUAUGGGCAGUAGUCAUCUAACUGAGAUGCCCCUUUUUUGUAUAAAGUUGGGGUCCAAUCUGUAACCUCAAUUAGAAGGGUGUCAAUACCGCACCAUUAUUAAAGACAAGCUGUGAGUGACCCUCAUCUGGCAGUGUCCCCAUAAGAGAAUGGUGGGACCCUCAUCUGGCAGUGUUAAUCUACCUCAUCAACCCUUAACUAUCAAUGUUGAUGUCUCAGCCUAUGCUGGAUACAUAGUUCUGGAGCACAAGGAUUGCUUCUAAUAAUCACACCC